AAUCAUCAACUGCACAGGAUAUAAAAGCUCAACAAGCUUAAGUAACAAGUCAGUCAAGAACUGGAGGACAGAUUUCUUCAUAUGCAUGAUGAUCACAUCUUACUCAAGCAGCAUACAAAUGAGCAAGAGGAGAAAACUAAAAGCCUUCCUCGCCAUAACCCUUUUAACUAGAAGUUUGGAAUGAAUUUGCAGUGGAAGAACGUUGAAAAAGCUCCACGUAAACAAAAAACCUGCUUACAGUGUUUUCCAAAAAUAUCUUUAAAGCCAUCUCAGACUGCAUUUGUGGAAACAGGCAGAGGGCAAGUGACCUUGAGAAGUUUGGUGGUGAUAUCUAUUUUUCUUGCUUGGACUUCCAGUUUUGAAUAUGAAUGGAUGCUGAAGGUUGAAGAUCAGAGCCUAAAGAACGUAAAGAACAACCAUGAUGCUUCAUUAGCAAAAGACGAUGAACUGAAUGAACAGCUUGAAGAGGAAAGAAUAAACAGUCCAGAAAAGGAGAAUGAACUCUUGAAGAAAAGCUAUGAUAAACUGUGUAAGUGCUCAGUGAUACCCCAGAUGAGCAGGAACUUGAAUGUGAAGAUACUGAUUUUGCCGAAUCUGUUUGAAAAAAGAAGCAAAGAAAUGCCACUGAACAAGACAUUGAUGGUGAGUUUUAGAGACCACUUUCUUGUAAACUUUUAUAGCUUAAAAACUAUUUGUCAAAUUUCUCUUUUUUUCUACAAGAUUUACUGUGAAAGUAGUUGUUUGACAUUGUGUCAAAAAGAAAUUCUUUAA
This 771-nucleotide long non-coding RNA is filed under the name Ficedula albicollis (Collared flycatcher). RNAcentral's name for it is "lncRNA (ENSFALG00000023567.1)". Lineage: Eukaryota; Metazoa; Chordata; Aves; Passeriformes; Muscicapidae. The record is from RNAcentral.